GCUGUUGCUUCCUGUACUUUUCUGGAACUUUGCCUUUCUCCUUGUAAGGCUUAACAAGCACUCUAGCAUCACAUACAAAAUGAGGGUUCCCUUUGGCCAAGAUUAUCUUUACAGUCUGCGGAUAAACAAAAGUGACAAACCCAAACAUUCUUUUCUGCUGGUAAGGAAUCCUCACAUCUUGCACUGGCCCAUACAUACUGAAGUAAUUUGAAACAUCCUCCUCUCUGAAAGUGCUAUCAGCUGGGAAAGUCAAGUAGAUCUGUCUUGAGGCGGAGUUAACCAACUCACUCCUAUCAAGCCGAGAUCGGCCAAAUUUGUGCAUAUCCUCACCCACCAUCAAUGCAGCAGAAGCGGCAGCAGCCCUC
RNAcentral lists this unclassified non-coding RNA (365 nucleotides) under Hevea brasiliensis (rubber tree). Lineage: Eukaryota; Viridiplantae; Streptophyta; Magnoliopsida; Malpighiales; Euphorbiaceae. The record is from RNAcentral.